CGGGGCUUAAAGUCUUGUAAUUGGAAUGAUGGGAAUUUAAACCUCUUCCAGAGUAUCAAUUGGAGGGCAAGUCUGGUGCCAGCAGCCGCGGUAAUUCCAGCUCCAAUAGCGUAUAUUAAAAUUGUUGCAGUUAAAAAGCUCGUAGUUGAAUUUCUGCUGCAUUGCUUGUGUCCCUCUGGGGUCUGUGCAUGUGGCUUUUUUCGGACGGAGUUUCUUUGUCUGAAUGUUUACUUUGAGAAAAUUAGAGUGCUCAAAGCAGGCUUUCGCCUUUAAUAGUUUAGCAUGGAAUAAUAAAGUAGGACUUUGGUUCUAUUUUGUUGGUUUUAGGUACCAAAGUAAUGGUUAAUAGGAACAGUUGGGGGCAUUCGUAUUUAACUGUCAGAGGUGAAAUUCUUAGAUUUGUUAAAGACGAACUACUGCGAAAGCAUUUGCCAAGGAUGUUUUCAUUAAUCAAGAAC
RNAcentral lists this ribosomal RNA (458 nucleotides) under Theileria annulata. RNAcentral's name for it is "SSU rRNA". It matches the Rfam family "Eukaryotic small subunit ribosomal RNA", at positions 486 to 984 of the family's 1831-position model. Lineage: Eukaryota; Apicomplexa; Aconoidasida; Piroplasmida; Theileriidae. The record is from RNAcentral.